This is a non-coding RNA of Xyrichtys novacula (pearly razorfish), 2142 nucleotides long. NCBI's taxonomy places the organism in Eukaryota, Metazoa, Chordata, Actinopteri, Labriformes, Labridae. The record is from the annotation of a GenBank genome assembly.
GAAGAUACAUCCACUCCAGUGCAUUUGUUGGUAAGUAUCAGUGUUUUAACCAAGACUAACAACAGUCAAAAUAAAAAUAACUGCAUUAAUGUUAAGUUUAAUCCUGUUGAACAACUUGAUAUUCAAGAUAAUGUAAAAUAUAUGAUGCAUUUCUCAAAUACUGAGUUCAAAGUGAUAUGAAAUGUUGAUCUAUGUGUAACACAUAUACCAUAUGAGAAAUAGAGAUGGGAUACAGUUUUUUCCUUGUAGACAACCUUGUGCUAACAAUAUUACUACACUACUUAAUUAAUGUUUUGGAUCAUUUUAACUUGCAGGGAAAGUCUGAAUCUUAAUUUUGACAAUUAAGUGGGAAAAUCAUUCAGGAAAAGUACUUUAAAUGAAGUGAGCUGUGAGAGAGGCUCUUUUGACUGUAUUAAAAAUCUCCUCCUCUCUCUCCCCCUCCUCCUGCCUCAUCUUGUCCUCUGACCUGAGCGAAAAUCCCUACCAACUCUGAAGUGUAAGUUCACACUUGCGUAUACUUAUUUAGCAAUCACUCAAAUGUUACAUUUUUGCUCCGUAGUUUAUAAUGACAUAUCACGGUUUUCUAUUUCACCUCAUCAACAUACAGAAGAAAGUAAAGAGGUCUUUCAUCGUGUUUGUGCAUUGUCUCUCCAUUUUAACAAACAUUUUUUACAGGCCAAGGGAGCUGCAGUAACAUCCUUUUAUUAAUCAAGUGCGACAAAUUUUAGAGUUUGAUAAGAAAUGAGAAAACUAAUGAUCCACACUGAAAAACGGUCGUGAUUACAAUAAACUUUGAGAUGCUGAUUUUUUUAUUUUAUUUUUUUGCAACUAAAUUACAUUUUUUUUGUCCUUCUGUCUUCUCCCUCUUACUGAACUCCUCAACGCUAUUUCUACUGCGGGCCCUGUUCACUGUUGGCAACUCAGCUGUAAGUUCACAAAUAAAGUAACUUUAAAAUAUAUUUUCACUGUUACUUUUUGCAACACAUUAUCUAAAAACCUGACCUAAAUAACACUUUAUUUUAACUAAUGCAGAACUAAAUGUAAAUAAUUUUGCUGGCUGAUCACAGUUGGAAUUACAAUGCAGUGAGAUGUGCUGGUUUUGUACAAUUAAACUAAAAAUCUCUUGUCUCUGUUUUUCCAUUUUCCUUCUUGCCAACUCGAUACUGUCUCCAAGUGCAGACCGCUUUGUGGCGACUUGACGUAAGUUCACACAGGAAUGACAUUUUCAUGAAUAUUUUUUAUAAUAUUAUAUAUAUAUAUAUAUAUAUAUAUGUUUAUCCUUCUAAGGUACCUUGCUUGCAUCUGUUGACAGCUCAUGGAGCUGCUUGGCCUCAUUAUAACUUAUUACUUAGUUGGAAAACUGAAAACACAGUAAAGGAAAUUACAUUUCCUAAAAUACAUUAUUAUCUUAUUAGCAAAGUAAUCCAUUGAUGUUAUUGCUUACCAGGACAUGGGUUUGAACAUUAUAAAGGGAACUUUAAAUGAUUUCUAAGAGUCUAAAAUACACAGGGAUAAUAGAACUUGUUGUAAAAUACUUUGAGGUCCUAAAUUUAAAAAGCUGGCUCUGUGGUUGGAUUCAAGUUGGACUCAGUGUAGGAUGUGGUGGAGAGAUGUACGCUGAGGAAGGUGGAGACUAUUUUAAAGAACAUGGAUUACCCACUUCAUAACACCUUGAUGGACCAAAGGGCCUAAGGUGGUGGACGGCUCCUCUCUCCUCGCUGCAGGACAAAAAGAUUCAGAAGAUCUUUUGUACCCACAGCCAUCAGACUUUACAAUUCUUAAUAGCAGAUGACUUUUUGAGAUAUGACAAAUUUCCCUUCAGGGAAAUAAUAAAGUUCUCCUUACCUUAAAUACAUUUUUAAUAAACUCGUAUGAGCACUUUGGAUUUUUAGUUCUUAUUAAUUUGAUUGAUGGGUUAUCAAACAGGGCAAUUGCCAAUUCCAGGAUUUGACUCAACUUGGCUUUUGAUAAAUGUAUAGUUAAGGAUAGCCAUAUGGUGGGUUAAGCAAAAGCACAUAAUAAUGACAUUAGCUUUGGGUGGAUGUUGGUUCAUUUUGUUUCUCUUAUAAAAAAUGAUUCAUGUUUGUUUUCAUUGUGUCUUACAGGUAUCGUGUCCAGUCUCCCCACUCUCCCCUAUCUUUU